AUUUUAGAACGACUUUUUCCU
RNAcentral lists this microRNA (21 nucleotides) under Glycine max (soybean). RNAcentral's name for it is "gma-miR10197". The record is from miRBase by way of RNAcentral. Lineage: Eukaryota; Viridiplantae; Streptophyta; Magnoliopsida; Fabales; Fabaceae.